RNAcentral lists this ribosomal RNA (216 nucleotides) under Priestia megaterium. RNAcentral's name for it is "Bacillus megaterium partial 16S ribosomal RNA". It matches the Rfam family "Bacterial small subunit ribosomal RNA", at positions 556 to 767 of the family's 1533-position model. Lineage: Bacteria; Bacillati; Bacillota; Bacilli; Caryophanales; Bacillaceae. The record is from RNAcentral.
UUGGGGCGUAAGCGCGCGCAGGCGGUUUCUUAUGUCUGAUGUGAAAGCCCACGGCCUCCCCGUGGAGGGUCAUUGUAAACUGGGGAACUUGAGUGCACACAAAGAAAAGCGAAAUUCCUCGUGUAUCGGUGAAAUGCGUACAGAUGUGGAGGAACACCACGUGGCGAAGGCGGCUUUCUCUUCUGUCUCUGACUCUGACGCGCGAAAGCGCGGGGA